This 440-nucleotide ribosomal RNA is filed under the name uncultured bacterium. RNAcentral's name for it is "partial 16S ribosomal RNA". It matches the Rfam family "Bacterial small subunit ribosomal RNA", at positions 338 to 795 of the family's 1533-position model. The record is from RNAcentral.
CCUACGGGCGGCUGCAGUGGGGAAUAUUGGACAAUGGGCGAAAGCCUGAUCCAGCCAUGCCGCGUGAGUGAUGAAGGCCCUAGGGUUGUCAAGCUCUUUUGUGCGGGAAGAUAAUGACGGUACCGCAAGAAUAAGCCCCGGCUAACUUCGUGCCAGCAGCCGCGGUAAUACGAAGGGGGCUAGCGUUGCUCGGAAUCACUGGGCGUAACGGGUGCGUAGGCGGGUUUCUAAGUCAGAGGUGAAAGCCUGGAGCUCAACUCCAGAACUGCCUUUGAUACUGGAGGUCUUGAGUUCGGGAGAGGUGAGUGGAACUGCGAGUGUAGAGGUGAAAUUCGUAGAUAUUCGCAAGAACACCAGUGGCGAAGGCGGCUCACUGGCCCGAUACUGACGCUGAGGCACGAAAGCGUGGGGAGCAAACAGGAUUAGAUACCCGAGUAGUC